Molecule: long non-coding RNA, 613 nt
Filed under: Phascolarctos cinereus (koala)
Lineage: Eukaryota; Metazoa; Chordata; Mammalia; Diprotodontia; Phascolarctidae
Description: lncRNA (ENSPCIG00000014739.2)
Source: RNAcentral
UUAAAUCAUUGCUCUUGAUCAGAAUUUCCUUCUCUGGUUUCCUUUAGAUUCAGUUUCUAGCCGACUCUCCAAGGUUGGAAAGUGUUCAGGGGGUUUGAUUUACUGAGCUGUGGGGGAGAGAUCCUGCUGCGCCCAUAGAGGAGAUGGUAAUUCUUUGAAAAAAGGAUUGUUCAACUCCAACAGAGAGAAGCUCCAGAAUCCCUCCUUGCAAUGAGGAACAACAUUUAAACAAAGCCAGAAAAAACAGAAUUCUAUCUAACAGCCUAAGCAUAGUCCUCUCCUGAGAGGAGGGGUGUGGAUUUCAUUAUCAAUUCUAAAGGAAAAGAAAAAUAAAAGUCAUCUAUGAUGAUUCUGAUGGUACAGAAAGGGCAUGAAAAGAUGAAGAAAAGUACUCCACAGGAUAUGUUCCAGUGCCCACUGGGAGACCUCCAAUGCGCAGGAGGCUGGUGGCAGCUGAGUCAAACUAUCUUCUUCCAAAGUGAAUGGGUUUUAGGCCCCGGCCAUGAAUCUGGAGAAAGGGAAGGAAUAGAAACAGAACCUCUUUCAUGGCUGAGUGAUUAAGAAAAGAUACCCACCAUGGGCUAAAUGUUAGGCUAGAUGGGAUGAUACAAAC